Molecule: ribosomal RNA, 484 nt
Filed under: uncultured bacterium
Lineage: Bacteria
Description: partial 16S ribosomal RNA
Rfam family: Bacterial small subunit ribosomal RNA
Source: RNAcentral
GACGAACGCUGGCGGCGUGCUCAACACAUGCAAGUCGAACGAUGAAGCCGGAGCUUGCUCUGGUGAAUUAGUGGCGAACGGGUGAGUAACACGUGAGUAACCUGCCCUUGACUCUGGGAUAACUGCUAGAAAUGGUAGCUAAUACCGGAUACGACCCUCGGAGGCAUCUCCAGGGGGUGGAAAGAAUUUCGGUCAAGGAUGGACUCGCGGCCUAUCAGCUAGUUGGUGAGGUAACGGCUCACCAAGGCGACGACGAGUAGCCGGCCUGAGAGGGUGACCGGCCACACUGGGACUGGGACACGGCCCAGACUCCUACGGGAGGCAGCAGUGGGGAAUAUUGCACAAUGGGCGCAAGCCUGAUGCAGCAACGCCGCGUGAGGGAUGACGGCCUUCGGGUUGUAAACCUCUUUUAGUAGGGAAGAAGCGAAAGUGACGGUACCUGCAGAAAAAGCACCGGCUAACUACGUGCCAGCCGCCGCGGUAA